CAGGUAACAGGCAGGCCUGCCACACGUGACCCAUGGUCGCCAGGUAACAGGUAGGCCUGCCACACGUGACCCAUGGUCGCCAGGUAACAGGCAGGCCUGCCACACGUGACCCAUGGUCACCAGGUAACAGGUAAGCCUGCCACACGUGACCCAUGGUCACCAGGUAACAGGUAAGCCUGCCACACGUGACCCAUGGUCGCCAGGUAACAGGCAGGCCUGCCACACGUGACCCAUGGCCGCCAGGUAACAGGUAAGCCUGCCACACGUGACCCAUGGUCACCAGGUAACAGGUAAGCCUGCCACACGUGACCCAUGGUCGCCAGGUAACAGGCAGGCAUGUCAGGUAUCUGCCCCUCACCAGGUAACAGGCAGGCAGACGGACAGGCAGCGAGACCGACCGACCCUGCUCUGGGCACAGGAGGCCAACCCCGCCUGGCCCCGCUCACUGUGGCCUCCUCAGCGCAUGGCUGGCUGAGCCCCAGGCUGCGCGCAGGGGGACAAGGGCCCACGCGCACCUGCAGGUUGUAGGGCGUGAUGACGGCAAUGUCACUUGCUUGGA
Molecule: non-coding RNA, 559 nt
Organism: Oryctolagus cuniculus (rabbit)
Lineage: Eukaryota; Metazoa; Chordata; Mammalia; Lagomorpha; Leporidae
Source: RefSeq, a predicted model, not a curated record